Cyprinus carpio (common carp) is the source of this 1138-nucleotide long non-coding RNA. The record is from Ensembl. NCBI's taxonomy places the organism in Eukaryota, Metazoa, Chordata, Actinopteri, Cypriniformes, Cyprinidae.
AUGAUUGUCGUUUCACACCAUGUGUCUCAGCAAUGUCCUGCAGGUGUCACACAAGGAAGUGAAUGCUGCUUUAGUCAGUGUGAAGGGUUUCAGCAUCCUGAGGAGGAGCAUACAGAGAAAUCUGAAACCACAAACAAGAGCAACUUUGAACACCCUCUGUACAAACCCCAAAACCUCUAUAAGCAGUUGAGGAGGGAGCACAGACUGUUACUGGACGUGAUGCUGGUUCUGUACAGAAGAGAGUGGUUUCUGCAGGAUGCCAUACCAUACGUCAGACGUACACUCAGGAAGUGUGGACUGAGGCCUGAGGAUUUAGACUAAAGACUGUUCUUGCGUGUGAGUGAAUGAAGAAGGUGUCACUGGGGCCACAUCCUAUGGUACAAAAGCUAAAAGUUAGGUCUUUGUACCUUAUUUACCCCUAAAUGCCACAUAUUAAUACCUUAAAGGUACAUAUCAGUACUUUUAAGUACAUAUUAGUUCCUAAAUUGUACAUACUAGUAAUUUUUGAAAGGUUAUCGCCCCAAUCUAUCUUUUUUUUUUUUUUUUGAGAGUGUACAGUACAGUGAAUGUAUGAAGAAGCAUUCAAGAUUUAAAGCACUGUAAAAUUAUCAUAAAAGCUGUAUAAACAGCUUUAUGUGAGUAACAGACCAACAUUUACUGAAAAUAUUGGCAUCCUCCCAUGGGAGAUGAUGAGAGUUCAUGAGGCAAAGUGUUCGAUUUAUGAAUGAAUUGUUCUUAUGAUUCAGUUAUCACAGCAGUUAACUGAAAAUUACUGAAAUAUUACCAGUAAAUUACUUAAAUCUUAGUCUGUUUCUCACACUAAGUUAUCGUAUGACUUCAGCAGAGUUUGAAUAUAGUGCAUGAGUCAUAUGGACUACUUUUUAUGAUACUUUAAUGAUGCUUUUCCAUCUUUUUUUGAAGAUUAAAGGCUUCAUUCCCUAUUGCAAUUGCAUGCAAAAGAAGGACCAGCACAAUAUAUGUUCAUGUUCUAUAGAAGAAACAAAGUCAUCGCAGGUUAGGAACAACAUGACAGUGAGGAAAUGAUGCUUUUGGGUGAACUAUUUCUCUAAGUUUAAAACUGAUGUGAUGAUAUAUUUAACUUAACUAAGGGAACAAUAAAGAAAAAACACUGCUAACA